GCCUGGAUAGCUCAGUUGGUUAGAGCAUGGUGCUGAAAGCAGCAAGGUUGCAGGUUUGAUUCCCGUAUGGGAAAGCU
RNAcentral lists this transfer RNA (77 nucleotides) under Podarcis lilfordi (Lilford's wall lizard). RNAcentral describes it as "tRNA.Phe". The record is from RNAcentral. Lineage: Eukaryota; Metazoa; Chordata; Lepidosauria; Squamata; Lacertidae.